This is a long non-coding RNA of Oreochromis niloticus (Nile tilapia), 2451 nucleotides long. RefSeq lists it as uncharacterized. The transcript has 2 exons. NCBI's taxonomy places the organism in Eukaryota, Metazoa, Chordata, Actinopteri, Cichliformes, Cichlidae. The record is from RefSeq and is a predicted model, not a curated record.
ACCUGCUUUGGAACUAUCUGUUACACACCUUUCAGAUUUUGAGUCAGCUGCUUAGAGGAUCGUGUGGUUGCUGAAUAUUAAGAGUCACAAAUCACUUAAAGCCCAUUUAGGGUCGUGGGAGGCUGGAAACUAACACAGCUGUCAUAGAGCGAGAGGUGCGGUGCACCCUGGACAGGGUCACAUGGUCACAGAGACACACAGUCAUGCUCAUAUUUGCAGGCCUAAGCCCUCCAUAACUGUGGCAGGAAACCAGAGUACCAGGAGAGGACACACACAAACAUGGGAAGGAGCUUCUUGUGGUUCUAUCCACCCCACUAAUGUUUAAUCCUAUGUUUAUAUUAGUAUUUAUUCUUUUUUUAUGGUAGAAUAAAAAUGACAUGUAGAGGCAUGAAGCCAAACCACUGGUUUAAAGGGGAGAAGUGGGGAAAGGUGGGUCAUAAGACACUUUAUUUUGUGCAUUUUGGCAAGUGUAUAUACAUAAUAUGUGUCUGUUAUAUACCAGUUAAAAUGCCCAUAUCAAGAUUAACACAACAAUCAGGUCUCUAAAGUAUUUAACCUUGUUAUCCUGAGUCAACACACACUCUUUAGGCCUUGUCGCAUGUUCUCUUUUUUCUAAGAUAAAGAGCGCUCCGGUCCAGUUCAAGUUAAACAGAUUUAUUGCCUCAAGCAGUUCAAAGAAUAAUUCAUGUACACAGAUCUCCUUCCGGUUAGAAAACCACAGUCUGCAGCAGGUUUCUGUAGCCAACUCCCAGAAAAGAGAACUUAGCCAUACACAUAUUUAUAAAAGAGAAUGUGCAUCUAUAUGAUUGGUCAAAAACUGUUGAGAAGUUUAGACUUUUAACCCCACUUAUUGGCAGACAGGUUGUGCUCUUCUCCUCCUCAGUUUCAGCUUCACCUAGUGAUGGACCUGUUACAUAGUUUCAUGCGUCUGAGGCAUCAUCUGUCUGUGAGGCCUAUUGUUUCUUGACCUUGCUCUGGUUCACUCCUGUAUUCUUGCACACAGCCUUCCACCAAGUCUGCACAAAGAACCCUGCAUCUUGGGAAUCUGUAAAUUUUCUACUUAAUUUAUUUUGAGUGCUCAGUAGAGCAAUUAACUAUUAAAGUGAUCUAAAAUUAAUUACAGUGGCCAUACCAUUUGCCAGCACAGGUCUUGUAAACCAAUGAUGAUGGUUUAAGACAUAAGAAUCAGAGCUGACAACUGGGAACGGACUAACAUCAGGCUACUUUGUUGUCUUUUGUUUGGCGGAGUAAACUGCAUAAAUUUCACUUACAGCACUUUACACUACAUGUCUCAUUCACCCAUUCACCCAUACACUUUUUUCUAUGUUUAAGUGCUUUCUGUCUAACAUUUUCGCACAUUCAUAUUUCACCGAAUGCAUCAGAGAGCAACUUGGGAUUCAGUAUUUUGCCCAAGGAUACUUAGGAAUGCAGACUGGAGACUAGAGCAGCCAGGGAACCUUCCUAUUACUACCUCCUGAGCUACAAAUGGAGUACUGGGCUGGACUCCCCUUUGCCUUCAGCACUGCCUUAAUUCUUCAUUGCACAGACUCAACAAGGCCACUAUCUCUAUAUACCUAAAUGCAAUGAGUGAUGUGAUUGGCUGAUUAGAUAAGUCACACAAAGGAGCAGUUGGAACAGUGUCAGAUGAGCGUAUCAGUAUUUUAGGAUGCUUAGGAUUUUAGGACUUAAUCACAACUUGUUUUCCACACUUUUGGAGAAAAAUCAUUUAUAACAUUGCACCGUCUCCUCCUUUUUCCUUCUGGCUCCCUCUCGGUUAUUAACAUGGCGCACGGUGCCAGAGGAGAUGCUGUGCAGCAGCAGCAGCAGACUGACAGUCACACAAAGUUUGUCAGUCUCAAAGAAGACCCACUUUAGUAAACACUUACUGUGAAGUUCAACAGAGUUGGAAUGACCCAUUUUAUUGGUGGGCAGGUGAGAUACAUGUGUGUAAAUAUGAACAAAGGAAGUUCAUGGUUGACGUCUGUACAUUACAUUCUAACAAAGAAAGUGAUGGUCUCGCAGUCAAUUCAAAGCACGCUUCAGGUAAUUUGACUGUGACAGGCUCUGAGUGAGAUCAUAUUACUCGUUCAUCUGUGUAAAGACGGUUCAUAGAAAAUAUAAAGCAACUCAUGACUAAAGUUUAAUCGGUUAACACUUUAAAUCACACCUCUAUCUAUGUCUACUGAAUUUUAAUACAGCCAUACAAUACAAGUAUACAAGGUUAUUCUGUGGUUAGAGAAAAAUACAACCGAAGAAGGUGUGAAAAUGCAAAGAUACAGCUGUUUUGCUUUUUAAACUUCGUAUACAUGUGAAACAGGUCAAACAAGUCUUGAGGCCUCUUUUGUAUCAUAGGUACGAUCUCUUAAUGCAGGAGAGAAACAAAACAAAACACAAUUAUACUAAACACAGCCUGAGUCAAGUGUACAAUAUGCACACUUGAAGGAAAUAAAA